Molecule: ribosomal RNA, 702 nt
Filed under: uncultured fungus
Lineage: Eukaryota; Fungi
Description: LSU rRNA
Rfam family: Eukaryotic large subunit ribosomal RNA
Source: RNAcentral
AUUGCCCUAGUAACGGCGAGUGAAGCGGCAACAGCUCAAAUUUGAAAUCUGGCGCCCUCGGCGUCCGAGUUGUAAUUUGUAGAGGAUGCUUCUGGGCAGCCGCCGGUCUAAGUUCCUUGGAACAGGACGUCGCAGAGGGUGAGAAUCCCGUACGUGACCGGCCAGGCUCCCUCCACGUAGCUCCUUCGACGAGUCGAGUUGUUUGGGAAUGCAGCUCUAAAUGGGAGGUAAAUUUCUUCUAAAGCUAAAUACCGGCCAGAGACCGAUAGCGCACAAGUAGAGUGAUCGAAAGAUGAAAAGCACUUUGGAAAGAGAGUUAAAAAGCACGUGAAAUUGUUGAAAGGGAAGCGCUUGCAACCAGACUUGCCCGCGGUGUUCCGCCGGUCUUCUGACCGGUCCACUCGCCGCGUGCAGGCCAGCAUCACCUGGGACCGCCGGACAAAGGCCGGGGAAAUGUGGCUCCCCUCGGGGAGUGUUAUAGUCCCCGGCACAAUACGGCGCGCCCCGGGUGAGGUCCGCGCUUCGGCCAGGAUGCUGGCGUAAUGGUCGCAAGCGGCCCGUCUUGAAACACGGACCAAGGAGUCUAACAUCUAUGCGAGUGUUCGGGUGUCAAACCCCUACGCGCAAUGAAAGUGAACGGAGGUGGGAACUUUUUGUGCACCAUCGACCGAUCCUGAUGUCCUCGGAUGGAUUUGAGUAAGA